GUUGAAAUCCGCUCAGGAGUGUGUAACAACUCACCUGUCUAGUCAGGCUGCCCUGAAAAUGGAUGACGCUGAAGCCGGUUACCGAUACCAGACCAUCGUUGCAAAUGCGAUGCUUCGAUGAGUAGGCGUACGUGGAGGUUGUGACGCAGCUUUUGACGUGAGUCUGAGUGAAACAGCCUCUAGUGCAGAUCUUGGUGGUAGCAGC
Molecule: ribosomal RNA, 205 nt
Filed under: uncultured Chlamydomonas
Lineage: Eukaryota; Viridiplantae; Chlorophyta; Chlorophyceae; Chlamydomonadales; Chlamydomonadaceae
Description: partial Eukaryotic large subunit ribosomal RNA
Rfam family: Eukaryotic large subunit ribosomal RNA
Source: RNAcentral